Long non-coding RNA from Cygnus olor (mute swan), 2429 nucleotides. RefSeq lists it as uncharacterized. The record is from RefSeq and is a predicted model, not a curated record. Lineage: Eukaryota; Metazoa; Chordata; Aves; Anseriformes; Anatidae. The transcript has 3 exons.
UCCUUCCCUGCAAGCAGACUUUAACACAGUUUGGAUUUGUUUUGCAUUUGUUUUUACACAGUAAUAGGAUAAUAGAUCAUGCAAGGAAUGGUCAGCUGAAAUCUAGAGUUCACAAACUUUGGAAAAUGAUGUGCUGCUCAGUAGAAAGGCAGCCAUGUAUCAGUAUUUGUUGGCUUUUCUUGAGAAGCUUUAGAACAUGAUUCCUUUACUCCAGGGGAAAAACAUGGAAUAAGAUGUCUCCUUCCUUCGAAAGAAUGUUCUGGACUACAUUUCCAGAAUGAUGCUUAAUGUAGAAAGGAAAGUUAGAACAUUCAUGAUAUAUUACUAUACUUCAUUCAUAUCACCUUGAAGAACUAAUAUCAAAGUUUUUUGUUUGGUUUAGUAUUUGUACCUGCCAUGAAUUCCUUUAGAAAUUUACCCCAGAACAGCUAACAAAGUGGUUCUUUUCUGAGAAGGGAGAAAUAAAACAAUAUCUCAUUGACUUUCUGAAAAGAAAAUCUAGUGAAAAAGAAGCCUUGAAAUUUAAAUUACUGAUCCAUAGAGAAUAACAGAUUAAUAAACUCUGAAGUUUUUUCUGAACAUAUAUUUACAACAGUUAUUUAGCAAAGUGCAUUCUUUAAAUAUAUAUAUAUAACCUAUUGUUUUUUCCUAUAUGAAAUUCUCCUUGAUACCUAUAACCACAGAAAGACUAUGAAUGUGAUGAAGAAAGGAGAGAUGAAUGAAAAAUGUUUUAAGCUCUAAAUACAUUCAUCAUAUUCACUGAUGAAAAGACAAAAACACCUGGCAAAAAAAUGGAGGUGCAAAGAUAAGGUUUUGUAGGAGCAAUUCCAACCUGUUCUAUGGCGUUCCGUUUGUACUGAGAUGUUGAAUAAAAUACUGGAGUUCUAUUUGUAAUGAAAGUGUUCUGUGGGAUGGGUAUUCACCAUCGCUGGACAGGGUGCAGCACAGUUAGUCUGGGCACGGUAUACAGCUGCUUUAGAAGCGUGGAGCUCAAGGCCUGUUACAGCAUUUCAGUCUAGUUCAUUGUGUUGCUAAAAAAAAAAAAAAAAUAAAUUCCAACAGUGCAGAGCUCUCUAUAUGUACUAAAACUCAGACAUGCUAGUCCAUAGAAUUUAAGGGGAAGAUAUCAUUUUUAAUAAUUAUUUUUCUGACCAAAGAUUAUUUGGUGUAACUUACUGUUGUGAUGAGUAUCACUCGAGGGUUGUGUUACAUGUUGAAACCUUAGUUGGCUUUCUGUCACUGGUAUGGUCAUCAUACUGAGUUGAAGGAAUGUAGCAUCCUAGUUUUUCCUGUUUCCUGUUUUUCUCAUUACUUUGUGCAUCUAAUGGCAGUUUGGAUUUAGAAAACUUAACCGUUUCUGUUAUAUAGACAGUAAACCAUUUCCCCUUCAUGUUUUUGUUUUGUAGACAUAAAGGAGACAGAAGAGAUUUUUGAAAGAAGUAAAUGGGCAGAUAUGGAAUGCAGGGAGAAGAGAUUUAGUCUGCAGAGUGUUUUUUCCACUGUCUUUUUAUAAUUGUUAAUUUUUAAAUCUCUUCUUUACAAUGUGAAACUUGUGUUUCUCCUGCUCUGUGUCUUUUUCUGUGGUCUGUCUUUUGAGGCACUGUAUCAGUAAUCUCCAAUUGCACAUGCUGCAGUUUUAUCCAACUAAUUGAAAACUUUUCUGGGAAUGUGUAAUACACUGUAAUGUGUUAUUUGCCAUACUUUGGCCAACCAAGCAAAAAGUUCAUCUUCCCUCAACAAAAUAAAUAUGCUUUCAAUACCAAGAGCUGCUACAUGACAAAGCUUUUAAUUUAAUUGCUAGGAAUGAGUUAGAAGGUGGUUACAGCACUAUUUUCAUUUUCAAGGAGUCCUUUGAUUCCUAAAGACAAAUUUAUACUGACUAUAAAUAUCAUUAGAUAAUGAAUAAACUAGAUAUGCACAAAGUUCCCUCAGACCUGUGAUAUCUUUCUGUGGUUUGUUGCUUAUUGCAUCUUUAUGCUUCAAUCCUGUAAUUUGUGUUUUUUAUAGCAUCUAGGGUAAUAAGACUCCAAUUCUGAUCAGUGUUAUAACAUAAAUAAUAAUAAUAGAAGUGCAUUGUUUUAGACAAUAGACAUGAUUUCCAGCAUGGUUAUUUAUUUGCAUAAUCAACACUGUCUCUUUUAGUUUAUUGCUUUUGGUAAAAUCCUGUGGUCAUUAAUUUUGCUUUGAAUUUCAUUGGGAAUUUUGCUUAAUGAGAACAGAUUUUGAUGCAAGGUCAGCUCUCUGAAAGCCAUGCCAUCCCAUGUUUCAUUAUUGUCACAGUGAAUCACAGAGAGAGCAACAUGGAACUCACUUUACUCUGCAUUAAACUUGGCCAUCUCUGGCGCUAAAUUCAACACUGGGGUAACAAAACUCAGCAACUGAACUCAGGGAAAGAUUGAAGAAAGGAUAAUUUAAUUUCUGAAUUUUAG